Mauremys reevesii (Reeves's turtle) is the source of this 1019-nucleotide long non-coding RNA. RefSeq lists it as uncharacterized. The transcript has 2 exons. Lineage: Eukaryota; Metazoa; Chordata; Testudines; Geoemydidae. The record is from RefSeq and is a predicted model, not a curated record.
GAUGCUAGCUGCCGGUGCUGAGUUACUGAAGUGAGCUCACAAAGCCUGUUGCCUGGACAACUGAGCAAGCUAGAGGGGCUGAUCUAGGCAAUCUCACAAAGGCUUGGGCCUUGACAUCAUCCCAGCAAGCUAGAGAUGUUGAGCCAGUAACCUCAGAGAAGCCUGUUCCUUGACAUCCACUAGAAAGACGGAAGUACCUGAAUGCAGCUGGGCAGUUAUGAUAAGUCACAGCUGGCCCAGAUAAGAGGGCUGGGAGUAAGGAGCUGUGAGAGUCUCAUUCCAGCCCUGGAGUGAGAAGGACCUAGCUGCCUGAGAGAGACAGGGUACCUUCGACAGAGCAGUGCUGGGGAAGCGGCAGGCUGAGCUGGGGAGCUCAGGCUUGGCUACCUCCCAGGCUGAGGCCUGGCAGGAAGGCCUACGGAGGUACUGGGGCUGCAGGGAGACAGCUGGGGCUAGAAAGGCAGCAGGUCCAACUCCCUUGCUAAUGAUGAGAGUGGUCAUUACAGAUUGCAGUUUGCCCCAGAGAAAGGGGGCUAGAUGACGACUGGCAGUAGCCACUGAGACAAGGUGGGGAGGGGGGUUCCCCUGGCAGGGGAGACCCAGAGAGUGGGGGUGCUACUGUGAGGCAGCACCCCAAGAUAAGGGGGCCUGAAGUGCCUGAAGUACAGAGGUGGUGGAGAUGAGGAAGCAGGUACUGGUAGGGAGAAACAGGCCAGCAGGAGGUUCUCCAAGGCUGGACUGAGCUAAUUCCCAGACUGACCAGCAGGAGGCGCCGCGAUGAAGCUGGGCAAGGACAACAGGGGUGGCUCACUCUGACUGCCCUGUUCUGUACACUCCCCCUGAAGCUCUGGUAUGGGCCGUUGUUGGAGACAGGAAACUGUGGUAGAUGGACCAUUGGUCUGACUCAGUAUGGUAGUUCUUAUGUUCUAAGAUGUUUUGCCCCUCUCUUUUUGUUGUUAUAAUAUUGAUCUGAGGGAGAGUGAUGUGUAAUUCCAGGAAUAUAGUUCUUCAGCACUUUG